This 209-nucleotide ribosomal RNA is filed under the name Massilia sp. a7m5b2. RNAcentral describes it as "partial 16S ribosomal RNA". It matches the Rfam family "Bacterial small subunit ribosomal RNA", at positions 872 to 1078 of the family's 1533-position model. The record is from RNAcentral. Lineage: Bacteria; Pseudomonadati; Pseudomonadota; Betaproteobacteria; Burkholderiales; Oxalobacteraceae.
CCUGGGGAGUACGGUCGCAAUAUUAAAACUCAAAGGAAUUGACGGGGACCCGCACAAGCGGUGGAUGAUGUGGAUUAAUUCGAUGCAACGCGAAAAACCUUACCUACCCUUGACAUGUCAGGAAACUUCGAGAGAUUGAUGAGUGCCCUAAAGGGAACCUGAACACAGGUGCUGGUUGGUUGUCGUCAGCUCGUGUCGUGAGAUGUUGG